UUGAUAGGAGGGUGGCCCUGCCUCUAAAAUUAAUCUCUGAGGGACAUGACACCAAAGCUAAGAGACCAAUCAAGCAGGAGAGACCAGCCUCCCCUGUUCCCAGCUGUGUGUCCAUGAAGAGUGACAAGUCUAUGAUUCUACCUAUACACUUCAGAGAGGGAGACUUUUCUUCUGAACAAAGUCCAAUCAAGCAGGAGAGACCAGCCUCCCCUGUUCCCAGCUGUGUGUCCAUGAAGAGUGACCGGUCUAUGAAGCAACAGUGAGUUAAACAACACUGUCUCUAGUCAUUUCUCUUCUCCCAUUUCCCCAU
Molecule: long non-coding RNA, 310 nt
Organism: Oncorhynchus tshawytscha (Chinook salmon)
Lineage: Eukaryota; Metazoa; Chordata; Actinopteri; Salmoniformes; Salmonidae
Source: Ensembl